Molecule: long non-coding RNA, 868 nt
Filed under: Chrysolophus pictus (golden pheasant)
Lineage: Eukaryota; Metazoa; Chordata; Aves; Galliformes; Phasianidae
Description: lncRNA (ENSCPIG00010013546.1)
Source: RNAcentral
AUGAAUAUUCUAUGUGUUGUUUAUAUAUACAUUAUAUCUAUAGGACUGGGAAUUUAUGCUAUUUACAUGAACAGUUCUCCUGGUCCAGAGUUCACAGGUGAUUUAUUCUUGAGAAGGAGCAAGAUGGAUGAAGUAUACCACAUCUCUUCUACUGAGAAGGUCCAGCAGCUGGAAAGAGAACUAGCAGCACAGCUGGCAGAGCUGAAAGCACAAAUAGAAGACAAUGGGGUACUUCAGGGAACACCAAACAGGGCAUACAGUUCUGUUCCAAUUCCAAAAGAUGCAACUUAUUUCAGAAAAGAAAGAGAGAGAAUACUGAAGAGAAUCUUACAGGUGGCAGAAGCGAAGCCCCUUGUUAUUCAGGCUGAUGUCAUGCAGAGGGAGUUAGAGAGCUGCUGGAGAAGGGAGUACACAGCAACAACCUUGCCGCUGCUGCUGCACCAGUUUUUUACAGACAGAAUCACUCAGCUAGUCCAGAGUAAAUAUUUGCACAUGCUCAGAUGGAAAAGAUUUUGCACGCACAGCAGUGUUAUUGAGCAGCUUUAUCCUCUCUAUCAGAAGCAAGUUAGUCACAUCAUGGAUGAAUACAAUGAUGCAGUUCAGAGGGCUGCAAGGCUUUCAGUGGCAAAGGAGAACUUCCUGACAGGAAAGAAAAAUCCAAUGAAUGUAGUGACAAAGGAAGACCUGAUGAUUUACACCCAAUGGUUAGUGUGCCACCUACACUCUGUGAAGGGCAUUCACCGUUUUCUCCAGGUAAGAUGAGCAUUUUGAGCAGUAAAAUGUAAUUAUACAACAUUCAAACCUUAGUAAACUGAGGAAGAUAAAACUCAGUGCAAAAUCUGAGGGUUUGAUGGUACUAAGCCAGACU